Molecule: long non-coding RNA, 1388 nt
Filed under: Anas platyrhynchos (mallard)
Lineage: Eukaryota; Metazoa; Chordata; Aves; Anseriformes; Anatidae
Description: lncRNA (ENSAPLG00020001745.1)
Source: RNAcentral
UGCAGCUCCAAAAACCUUCAGUGCACAAGUACUAAAGGCAGGGAAAGUUCUUGGAGGAAAAGCUUCAAGCAUCUUUGCUGUUCUUAUAUGGUGUAUGUACAUACCAUAGAGAUUUAAUUCCCCUGUAAGCACAGAAGAGAUGCAGAGGUCCCUUCCAAUCUGAAUUACGCAAUCACCCCACGACCUGGUGUUUAUUUGCAGCCCUGGUUGGGAUUCCUCCAUCGCUUCCUUGGCAGUGGAUCAGUCCAGCCCCACAGGGAUAAGCUGGCAUCAAUGCAACAAAGAGUUUUGGUGCAACCCAGUCGCAAGCCCAACCUGUAAGCUUGUCCUGAUGUCAAUUGUAUAGAUCACAUUCUGGUCCCUGGGAUGCUCCACUACAAUUUAAACAGCCUGUGCAUCCUUCCAGCUGCAGUGAUGAGAGGUGAGACCAAAACGGGACCAAGACUGAGCUCCAGUGACAUCAGGGUCCUGGGCAAGCCCUCCCCUCCACCCUGAAGACAUCCUUUGACCAAAAGGAGCCGCGGAGGCUAGGAAAGACACUGACGUCAAUGUAAAAGUAAACCAAAGAGGUCUGGUUCCUGUAUCGCUGUGCCGGGCUGAGCGCCGGAGAGCGAGCACGCUGUCGUUCGGUCGAGGAAUCCGGGAGCAGGAUCAGCAGCUGAGCUUUCUCAUCCGAGCUGUGUAAGUACCGGCGGGGACGUGCAGCGAGGGGGAGAGGGAGGGAGAUUUACCAGCUGCAGCUCGGGAAGGCAGCCCUGGCUGAGCUGAGAGUUUGGAGGCACGCAGAUUGGGAUGGGAGUCCUUGCAAGCUGGGGCAGGAGCAAAAAGCACAUGGGUUUAGGUGCUGUUGGCUCCACGUGCAUGGGGAUGGGGCUGGUGAGGAGCAUCUUCUGACAAGCAUCUCCUAACAAGAAUCUCCUAAUGAGCAUCUCCUGAGGAGCACCUCCUGCACUGGGUGCUGCAGGGGAAGGGGACAGCUGGAGAGUUUUGUGCUGGUGCAAUGGAAGAGGGAGUCUCAUUGGGGGAGAUGUGGGUGAACCAGUUGAGGUGAAAGCCAAAUUUGUGAAAGCCACCUUCUAGCCAGGUACACACGUACAAGGAUGCACACUUAAUGUGUAUAAAGCAGGCUGCAGGCUGUGCUCUCUGAGAGAUUCAGUGUGGAAAAAAAAAAAGAAAGAAAGAAAAAAAAAAGAAAAAAAGAAAAAAUAAUAAUAUUUCUGGUGUAUCUCCCUAUUCUGACUACCUCUAUCGAGUCUAGCUACAUAUGCACGUACACAUCUUGCAGAUGUCCCCAUGUAGGGAUGCAGAGCUAGACACAGAGGUUUUAUACCCAGGUGAAAAAAUGAGAGAGGGCCCAAAAUGAACUUUGCAACAUACCAUUAGGAAGC